This 505-nucleotide ribosomal RNA is filed under the name uncultured fungus. RNAcentral's name for it is "SSU rRNA". It matches the Rfam family "Eukaryotic small subunit ribosomal RNA", at positions 248 to 754 of the family's 1831-position model. The record is from RNAcentral. Lineage: Eukaryota; Fungi.
GAUUCAGGAUAACUUAACGAGAUCGCAUGGCCUUGCGCCGGCGAUGGUUCAUUCAAAUUUCUGCCCUAUCAACUUUCGAUGGUAAGGUAUUGGCUUACCAUGGUUUCAACGGGUAACGGGGAAUUAGGGUUCUAUUCCGGAGAGGGAGCCUGAGAAACGGCUACCACAUCCAAGGAAGGCAGCAGGCGCGCAAAUUACCCAAUCCCGACGCGGGGAGGUAGUGACAAUAAAUACUGAUACAGGGCUCUUUUGGGUCUUGUAAUCGGAAUGAGUACAAUUUAAACCUCUUAACGAGGAACAAUUGGAGGGCAAGUCUGGUGCCAGCAGCCGCGGUAAUUCCAGCUCCAAUAGCGUAUAUUAAAGUUGUUGCAGUUAAAAAGCUCGUAGUUGAAUCUUGGGCCUGGCUGGCCGGUCCGCCUCACCGCGUGUACUGGUCUGGCCGGGCCUUUCCUUCUGGAGAACCUCAUGCCCUUCAGUGGGUGUGUUGGGGAACCAGGAUUUAAAA